UACGUAGGGACCAAGCGUUGUUCGGAUUUACUGGGCGUAAAGGGCGCGUAGGCGGCAAUUCAAGUCAGUUGUGAAAUCUCCGAGCUUAACUCGGAACGGUCAACUGAUACUGUUUUGCUAGAGUACAGAAGGGGCAAUCGGAAUUCUUGGUGUAGCGGUGAAAUGCGUAGAUAUCAAGAGGAACACCUGAGGUGAAGACGGGUUGCUGGGCUGAUACUGACGCUGAGGCGCGAAAGCCAGGGGAGCAAACGGG
RNAcentral lists this ribosomal RNA (253 nucleotides) under uncultured bacterium. RNAcentral's name for it is "partial 16S ribosomal RNA". It matches the Rfam family "Bacterial small subunit ribosomal RNA", at positions 524 to 776 of the family's 1533-position model. The record is from RNAcentral.